AUGGCGUCCUCUCUCCUCACCACCCCGUCCCAGACCCUCGCCCCCACGCCCUCCGCGGCGCGCGCCCGCGGGUCCUCCCCGCCGGCGGCGGCCCAGGUGUCCUUCUCCUCGCCCCGCCUCCCUGCCCGCCGCGCGCUGCGCGUGCGCGCGUCGGUCGCGAUCGAGAAGGAGGUGCCGGAAAACGAGGCGCCGACGACGUUCCUGCGGGAGGACGGCUCCGGGGCCGGGUCCGGGUCCGUGCGCGAGCGGUUCGAGGGCAUGAUCCGGCGGGUGCAGGGCGAGAUCUGCGCCGCGCUCGAGGAGGCCGACGGCAGCGGGAAGCGGUUCGUGGAGGACGUCUGGUCGCGCCCCGGGGGCGGCGGGGGCAUCAGCCGGGUGCUCCAGGACGGGAACGUGUUCGAGAAGGCCGGGGUGAACGUGUCGGUCGUGUACGGGGUCAUGCCCCCGGACGCCUACCGCGCGGCCAAGGGGGCCGCGAAGAACGGGGCGGCCGAUGGCCACAAGGCUGGGCCUGUGCCCUUCUUUGCCGCUGGCAUCAGCUCGGUUCUUCAUCCCAAGAACCCGUUUGCUCCAACAUUGCAUUUCAACUAUCGUUAUUUUGAAACGGAUGCACCAAAAGAUGUACCUGGUGCACCAAGGUCAUGGUGGUUUGGAGGUGGUACUGAUUUGACUCCUUCCUAUCUCAUUGAAGAGGAUGUGAAGCAUUUUCAUUCUGUUCAAAAACAAGCUUGUGAUAAGUUUGAUCCAAGUUUUUACCCAAGAUUCAAAAAAUGGUGCGAUGAUUAUUUCUAUAUUAAGCACCGUAAUGAGAGACGUGGGCUUGGCGGAAUAUUUUUUGAUGAUCUUAAUGAUUAUGACCAAGACAUGCUUCUGAACUUCGCUACAGAGUGUGCCGGUUCUGUAAUUCCUGCAUACUUACCCAUCAUAGAACGUCGCAAAGACACUCCAUUUAAUGAGGAGCAGAAGGCAUGGCAGCAAGUGCGGAGAGGUCGCUACGUGGAGUUCAACCUUGUUUACGAUCGUGGCACCACAUUUGGACUCAAGACUGGGGGAAGGAUCGAGAGUAUACUCGUCUCUCUACCACUCACUGCACGGUGGGAGUAUGACCAUAAACCUGAAGAAGGGAGCGAAGAGUGGAAACUUCUCGACGCGUGCAUAAACCCGAAGGAGUGGCUGUGA
Molecule: ribosomal RNA, 1179 nt
Filed under: Triticum aestivum (bread wheat)
Lineage: Eukaryota; Viridiplantae; Streptophyta; Magnoliopsida; Poales; Poaceae
Description: partial small subunit ribosomal RNA
Source: RNAcentral